AGGCGCUUGGGAUUUUGUGACCGUUUGGUGUUUUCGCUCCCACCUCUCCGCGCACGAAGUUUCCGCAGGAGCGGGAUCAGCGGUGCCGAGUCACGGUGGGCAUCGGGGCCCGGCCCGAGGUGCGGGACUGGCUCCGGGAGCCGGGACCGGGACAGCUCUCAAGUUCGGGGACGGGGCUGCGUGGAUUGCUGCCUCUCCCGGCCGAGGGAAUGAUCCCCCUCCGGCGGGGUCCCCGAUGGCCCCGGGGCCGGGACUCUGCGCUGGCGGCGAGUACCGGCCAGAAAAAGGGGUUCUGUUAAAGAUAGCGGUGAGCAGUGGUCGCCUGCGCCUGAUGGGCGAGCUGAGGGCUGGGUCUUUGCGGGCGAGAUGAGAGGUUCGUGUCUUCAACUGGCCUACAAAGUCCCAGUUCUCGGCUCCCGGGACCUGCCGGGCGCGCAGCGGGCGAAGACGGAGCGCGGCGGCGCCGCUGGCGCUGCCCGGGGCCGCUCGGGCGCGACGCGGGGUCCGGCCCGGGCCGGUCGGGUCCGGGGCACGGCGGGCGCUGCUCAGGGACCGCGGCUCGCCCGGCGCCGGGGCCGGCGGGUGCCCGGCUCGCCGCGGGGAGAGGACGGAGCUGGCUCUCCGCGAACCGUAAGUGCAUUUUGUAUUCUUCUGCCUCGGAAAGGGCUUUAAACGUGCGCGUCCCACCGGUGCUGGCGGCCGUCCCCGCGGCUUCGCGGCGGUCCGGACCAGCUGUGCCCGGCCCUGCCUUGGCGCGGAGCGAGCGCUCGGUUUCGCUCCCGCAGGACCAUGUGCAUCCUUCCCUCCGCUUUCACUUUCUAAAAACACAUUUUUUUUUUUUUUUUUUUUUUUUUUUUUUUUUUUUUUUUUUUUUUUUUUUUUUUUUUAGUAAAUCUAGUCACAUCCAUCCGGAGCAGCCGGGCUAUUUCUCUAGCCGGAAAUUCUCUUACUCACCUAAGCGUUAUUACCACCCAGCAUUCCGGAGUUCCUUAUUAUUUGUCGGAUUUCGAUUCGGCACACUGCACGUCUGCAGGCGCUGGUUUGUGCUCCUUCUUUGGGCACGGUGUAUAUACAACUCCGGGAGCAUUUCAACUGCUUUUCUUAAAGCUGAAUUCUUUAUAAAGGAGAAGUGACUAGAAACCCUGAGCUGGGUCCCAGGUCUUGCCUUAACUUUGUAAGGCACACUGACACACUGAGGCUGCUCCACUUAAGGUAUGGUAUGAACCAGGAGCUGAUCCCGUGGCUGUGGAAUGAGUGUUCACAUGGAGUCAUCCUGCUGUAGCUAUUGCAGCUGCUGUGUAAGCAAGUCCUAACGGACAGUCCUUGUUCCAGUGACUGUGUGACAGAUAAGACAGACAAUGGGCACAAGGAAGGCACCGCUAUCAAUGAAGGACGGAUACUGUUCAACCUGAAGGGAACAAAGAAACCUGGGCUGCUCAAGACCCCACAGAACUGUCCAGGAGUGUCCUUUGUGCCAGCUGAUUCCAGGAAUGUGACACUUUUCGAACUGUUUGUGUCAGGACUUCCUGCUUUGACACCUUUCAUUUCUGAGACUGCCUCAUCAGUCAAACCCCAGAUCUGCUGCUCCUCUCCACAAGGACUUCUGUAUGCAGCAACUCUCUGUCCUCUUUGGAUACUGAAAUGAGAUGAAAGGGCUUGAAUGUUUCUUAGCAAGAUGGAUGGAUGGAAUUAGCUUAAUCUGUUCUGAUUUUGACACCUACAAGUCAACUGACCCAAUCACCUCUUCUUCUAACAGGCUGCAAAGCAACACUCUACUAAUGUGGAAUAUUCUUUGUGAUGGAAACAGAAGCAUCAGGAAUGGGGGUUUGUAGCUUUUUUGGAAGAGUUUCUGUUACAAUUUUUAUCUUUAAUAUCAACACUUUAAAUAAGGAUAUUUAUAUGUUAAAAUAAAAACAUUUUUUGCCCUGAAAUACUGGAAUACGCCUCCCCAGCCUCUUCCUACCUCAGCUCUGCCACUGUGAAGAGAACCCAUCCAUGGAUUUUAAAGUCAGGACAAGUCAGAACUUCUAACAGAGGAUGAGCACAGAACAACUGCAGUUCAUCCUGCAGCCCAGACCCCAAUGAAUGGAUCUUUUUCUUAUGUGCUGUGGGAACUGCCUAUAGAAAUAUCUAAGAAACUGAUCCAGGGUUUUAUAACCUUGUGUCUUGUCCCUUGUGGCAAGCUGCAAGUUGCCUUCUUAUCCUGGCCUCCAUGGACAAAGCCCUCCAUGUGUGUGAAAUAGGAGAGCACCGUGGUUUGGUGGUGGUUUUGUCAGAUCUGUUCCCAAACAGCUCUCCCAGCUGCCACACUGCCUGUCAGAGGAGGGUUGGUGCAGCAGAGGUCUGUAGGGUCACUUGGGUUCACAUGCAGGAUCCCUUGUGCACAUCCUGCAGUGGGAUCCAGCCCUGCUGAUGCCUCUUUAACACUUGAGGACAUUGUCAGCAAACCAAAGUGCAUUUCUUAGUGCCCACACCAAGCCACUUCAAGAACAAAUCUGACUAGACUGAAUUAUUUUUAUUUUUAAAGUUCAGUGCCACUUAACACCGCCAAUUUAGCUUAAAAAAAAAAAAAAAAAGCAGAAAUACCUAAAAUAAAAGUGUUUUGAAAAGUA
Long non-coding RNA from Taeniopygia guttata (zebra finch), 2612 nucleotides. RefSeq lists it as uncharacterized. Lineage: Eukaryota; Metazoa; Chordata; Aves; Passeriformes; Estrildidae. The record is from RefSeq and is a predicted model, not a curated record.